CCUACGGGAGGCAGCAGUGGGGGAUAUUGCACAAUGGGGGAAACCCUGAUGCAGCGACGCCGCGUGGGCGAAGAAGUAUUUCGGUAUGUAAAGCCCUAUCAGCAGGGAAGAAGACAUGACGGUACCUGAGUAAGAAGCACCGGCUAAAUACGUGCCAGCAGCCGCGGUAAUACGUAGGGUGCAAGCGUUAUCCGGAUUUACUGGGUGUAAAGGGAGCGCAGGCGGCACGGCAAGCCUGAUGUGAAAGCCCGGGGCUCAACCGCGGGACUGCAUUGGGAACUACCGGGCUGGAGUGCCGGAGAGGGAGGCGGAAUUCCAAGUGUAGCGGUGAAAUGCGUAGAGAUUAGGAGGGACACCAGUGGCGAAGGCGGCCUACUGGACGGUGACUGACGCUGAGGCGCGAAAGCGUGGGGAGCAAACAGGAUUAGAUACCCGUGUAGUC
Molecule: ribosomal RNA, 442 nt
Filed under: uncultured bacterium
Lineage: Bacteria
Description: partial 16S ribosomal RNA
Rfam family: Bacterial small subunit ribosomal RNA
Source: RNAcentral